Myotis lucifugus (little brown bat) is the source of this 801-nucleotide long non-coding RNA. RefSeq lists it as uncharacterized. The record is from RefSeq and is a predicted model, not a curated record. The transcript is spliced from 4 exons. NCBI's taxonomy places the organism in Eukaryota, Metazoa, Chordata, Mammalia, Chiroptera, Vespertilionidae.
CAAGACGACUUGGAACACCUGACUCUCCCAGUGCAAACACCAGGACAGAGUACCACUGUGUACAAGAGCCACUGUGUGCAGAACAAUAAGCCAACAGGACAAGUGGAAAAAAGUGACCCAAAGGGAGAACCAAAUGAAUAUGAACGUAUACGACAACACACUGUACUAAAGAAUGCCCGGAAAGCUCGAUGCCACAUGGAGACAGACUGUUUCCAUAUCUGUUGACAUGCCAACACAAGCAACAGAAAAAAUAGAGAAAACCAAAUCUAUAAAUUGAAGUGUUUCUGCAAAUUCUAAGAGGUUCUUAACAUUAUCCAGAAUGGCUCCUUGGUGGACGAUCAUGCACCUCGCAGGAGAGGCGCUUUCUUCAGGGUCUUCAUCAUUAUAGUGUCUCUGAAAUUAAAAGUUAAGAGAGAAAAAAAAGAAAAGGGCCUGAAUGGAAGCUGUAAACACAAUGGUUGUGGCCUUUAGUCAAGAGGGAACACACAGCCCAAAGAGCCUGGGCAUGAAACCAAUACCAACUGAAUUGGGCCACGGUUGAAAUCUUUGUGAAUGUCAUUCUGGAUGUAAGAGAGUGAUGGGACAUCGGAGGCUAAAGUGGACGCUGACUGAUGAGUUGUUUAUAAUAUGAGAGAAUCUGAGAAUCCCCGAGCAAACUCACUCUCGAAGUGAAGACUGGCAGAUGGCUGGCUGGAGCUCCCCCACCCACCUCUCCACUUGUCCCUGCUUUUUUUAUUUCAGUUGGUCAGGUGACAAUAUGUGUUUAGAAGAAAUAAAUAAAGCAUGUCUCAAAAAUGGUGC